GACGAACGCUGGCGGCGUGCUUAACACAUGCAAGUCGAACGGAAAGGCCCUGCAUUUGUGGGGUGCUCGAGUGGCGAAAGGGUGAGUAACACGUGAGUAACCUGCCCUUGAGUUUGGGAUAACUUCAGGAAACUGGGGCGAAUAACGGAUAGGCGCUCCUGCUGCAUGGUGGGGGUUGGGAAUUUCCGGCGGUUGGGGAUGGACUCGCGGCUUAUCAGCUUGUUGGUGGGGUAGCGGCUUACCAGGGCUUUGACGGGUAGACGGCCUGAGAGGGUGACCGGCCACAUUGGGACUGAGAUACGGCCCAGCCUCCUACGGGAGGCAGCAGUGGGGAAUAUUGCACAAUGGGCGGGAGCCUGAUGCAGCAACGCCGCGUGCGGUAUGACGGCCUUCGGGUUGUAAACCGCUUUCGCCUGUGACGAAGCGUGAGUGACGGUAAUGGGUAAAGAAGCACCGGCUAACUACGUG
This 468-nucleotide ribosomal RNA is filed under the name uncultured bacterium. RNAcentral describes it as "partial 16S ribosomal RNA". It matches the Rfam family "Bacterial small subunit ribosomal RNA", at positions 28 to 507 of the family's 1533-position model. The record is from RNAcentral.